Long non-coding RNA from Formica exsecta, 785 nucleotides. RefSeq lists it as uncharacterized. Lineage: Eukaryota; Metazoa; Arthropoda; Insecta; Hymenoptera; Formicidae. The transcript has 3 exons. The record is from RefSeq and is a predicted model, not a curated record.
GAAUAGUUUACAAUUUGGUAUUUGUUCACUAUUUGAGUGUCCAAAGAUUAACAGUCGCACUUUGCGACACUGACAGCCAAUAAAAUUUAGGCGAAUGGACCAAUUAACGUUCUACAAGAGAGAGAAAGAAAGAGAGAGAAGAAUAUCUCGUUUAUAUUUUUCAGAAACCAACAUUUGUCAUUGUCGCAUCGUGAAUAGAAGAAGUAGACUAUAACGACUUGGAUCACAAUUUGGCGAUUAAUACAGCAUCGCGAUAUUGAUUGAAUAAAAUCGCAUAGAAAGGUUGGAUAAAAAGAACUACGUUCCGAAUUUUAUUGAACUUUAGGUAAAAAAUCCCUAAACAAGUAUUUAUGAUGCAUUUUACUAUAAGAUUAAUGCAAAUCUUAAGGCAAACGUUUGGUUGGUUAUAUUCGUUCAUAGCUAGUAUUGCUAGUAUUAAAGCUGAUAUUGCUUUUAUCCUAUUUAUAUCAGUCUUUAUGGUAUUAGUACCAAUUAAGGCGACACAUAUUAAAACCGAUACAAAAAAAUACAUUCAGAAUAUUGAAUCGGAAGAUGAUAUAGAAGAUAUAGAAUAUGCCGCGCAAUCUGCAAUAGAUAUAGAUAUUUCAAUCUUGGAACAGAAUAAUCGUCUAUUCAUUCGAACAGGGUUUAUGAUUGUGUUCUUAAUACUUCUUCCCUGUGUGCUUGGGUAAACCAAUAUUUAAUAUUUUAACAUACACAAUUAAUUUAUAUAUAAAUAAUUCAUAAUCAAUUAAGACUUCACUUAUGAGAAACUUAAAUUAUGG